This 468-nucleotide ribosomal RNA is filed under the name uncultured bacterium. RNAcentral describes it as "partial 16S ribosomal RNA". It matches the Rfam family "Bacterial small subunit ribosomal RNA", at positions 28 to 507 of the family's 1533-position model. The record is from RNAcentral.
GACGAACGCUGGCGGCGUGCUUAACACAUGCAAGUCGAACGGAAAGGCCCUGCUUUUGUGGGGUGCUCGAGUGGCGAACGGGUGAGUAACACGUGAGUAACCUGCCCUUGACUUUGGGAUAACUUCAGGAAACUGGGGCUAAUACCGGAUAGGAGCUCCUGCUGCAUGGUGGGGGUUGGAAAGUUUCGGCGGUUGGGGAUGGACUCGCGGCUUUUCAGCUUGUUGGUGGGGUAGUGGCUUACCAAGGCUUUGACGGGUAGCCGGCCUGGGAGGGUGACCGGCCACAUUGGGACUGAGGUAGGGCCCAGACGCGUACGGGAGGCAACAGGGGGGAGUAUUGCACAAUGGGCGGGAGCCUGAUGCAGCGACGCCGCGUGCGGGAUGACGGCCUUCGGGUUGUAAACCGCUUUCGCCUGUGACGAAGCGUGAGUGACGGUAAUGAGUAAAGAAGCACCGGCUAACUACGUG